GCUUUUUAAUGUGGUGUGAUGUUGUUCUGUAUGGGCUGAUGCUUAAAGCCUUCUGAAAUUGUUUGCUGGUACUCUGUGUUGUGACUGUCUCAACUGUGAGGGCUGGAUGAGGACUGUUGCUCCCUUUGAAAUAACCUGAAGGCUAAUUGCUCUAUCUUUGAACAAGGAAAACUUAAAUUUGAAUUGUUACAACAUGGUGAAUGCUUAGCAAUGCAUGGGUUCUGAAUAUGUUGUUCAGGCAACACCUUUACUGAAUUCUCUGGGAGUUUUCCAAUUAUACGCAUUCCUAUGUCACAGUAUGCUUGCCUGUUUUUCUGUCUGCUGGAUGAAAUCUGAAAAUAAGAGGGGAAAAAACACCUGUAUUUGAUCAUGGCCGUGAAGAAGACAAAAGCUCUUGGAUUCUGGUAAAGAAUGACCAGGCAAUACUCUUUGAAAAUUGGAGACCAUUUGCAGCUGCUCUCUGCUGAGGAAAGUGAAUAAUAGGGUGCCCUCAAGGAAUUUCAAAGGCUUAUCUAACACAUGCCUGAAUUUGGAAAGCAAGGAUUUCUGUGGUCAGAAUAGAACUGGACUGGUUUUGGGAGCAACUGGCAGGAUGAGAUGACAGUUUUUAUUUCUGAUGGCCCUGUUAAUACUUUUCACUAACAAGGAAAGGGAAAAAUUCUCUGCAAUAAUAUUGACUUCUUAUGUGAUCUUGGUGGUGUAGGGGGACGUGGAACUGCAGCUGUGAUCAGUUCAUCACAUGUCCCUACCAUUCCUUCCUUCACAAAGAGAGGGCUCGUCACAUUCCUCCCUGGCUGUGGUGUGAGGUCCUUCCCAUUGGACACAGUUCUCCUGAAAUUUUUGCAAGGUUUGGAGAUGCCCCUUCUGGUUCUCCUGCAGCACCACCAAGUGAUUGGAAGCAGGAGCUGCUCAGACAUGAUGGAGACAAUGGAGCUGAACCUCUCCUAGAAAAUCACAGGCCACAGUGAGCUGCAAAACCUUCAAGGACAGGAAAUGUUCAAGUUUGUUGUUUUCCAGUAUUUGUACAGCAGAAGAUGACAAGGCUCUUCUAUAAAAGCAUAUGAAACUUCACUAUUUCCACAUUGUGGACUGGAGUUUCAAAAGCUGCAAUGAAACCUGGGGAGUUCCUCUGGAGAAUCUAAACAAUCUUGGCAAGAUGCAGGAAGCUAAUCUCGCUGUCUGUGUCCUCCAAACUGGAGCUUCUUUCAAGAAAAGAAUACUUCAAUGAAUGGAACUGUUUACAUACUUUUAAUGAUGUGUUUGUUUUAAUUUAGUUGUAAGUUCAUCCUUCUGUAGGAUCCAUCUGAAUCUUAUCCCCCAGCUAUAUGUGUAAUUCAGGCUUCCUGUUUUAAGGUCAUCCCUAAUACAGAAAAUUGUCAUUAUAUUGGAUAUAAAUGCAAGGAGGGAUUUUAAAAGGUUCAUGAGCUUAGUAUAGGUUUUCUUAUUUCAGAAGUGAGCUUCUGUAUACUUCCCAUGUGGGAUCUCUGGAUAAAAUUUUUGUUAAUAUCCUUAUACAACUCAGAGCAAGAGCCAGAGAAAAACACAAUAUGUAAACCAUUCUUUCUUGUUUCUCAUGGAUUUACUUUGUUCAUCUGAAAAAUAGAUUUAUUUUAGUUUCUUAAUUUAUAGUUCCUACAGCAUGUGCAUGUUAAAAUCCAUAUACGAAAUGAAUAAAGGAACUGCACCCUGUCUUUUAGCUCAGCAAAAUUCCAUCAGUUGCAAAUAGAAGCAGCAUUUCUGUAGGAACAUUUUGAGAUUUUAUUUUUUAACCAUAGUCUCUGCAGCAUUUGGUACCACCCUGUCAGUUCCAUGAUUGGGCUACUCAGGACUUGAAUCAGUCAGGUGCUAAAUGUCUGUCACUGUUGUCCUGUCAGACGUGGCUGUGUUUGCAUGGCUGAUCACACUCCAGACCCUCUGCAUUCUUGAUGUGUGGGGGGAUGCUGGAAUCUAGAUGUAAGCUGAGCUUUAGAGCAGUAUGAACUUGGUAAAUGGGACAGACCUGGGUGCUCAGCACAUUGCAUCACAUUGCACAGAUGACAACCUGAGGACUGUGUACAUCACCUGGCAAAAUGUCAGUGAUCAGUCUGGGGUUGCUUACCAUGCUCUAAGUGUAAUUUAAGCCACUUGCUCUGGUGGAGUUCUGCUUGCAUCCACUUGUGCCUUCUACUCCAAAACAGGAAUCAAGACGACAAAGCCUUAGCUUGUUGUCAGGACAGCAGAAAGCUUGGAGGGUGGGAAUCUGGCUCAGUUUUUCUUGCAAAGGGCUGUGGAAACUUUUUUGUCUCAGCCUGAGAAGAAGAGAGGGCUGAUGGGUGGGAAGAACGGGGAAGGAAAACUGGUAAGCCGAUUUGAUACCAGCACAGGAGGCAGUAGGGAGGCAUUUUUUAAAAGCUGAUCCACCAGCACUCUUGAAACCACCUGUGACACUUUUUUUUUUUUUUUUUGUAGUGUGGCAGCAGUUUGCCUUUUUAACUCUUCAUGUUCUAUCCUUCAUUUUCAUAAUCCUAAAUUAUAUAUUGUCUGAGACUGGUGCUUUCUCUUUCCUUUAUUUCUAAAGUACACAGCGAGCAUGGCCAUCUCCCUGUUGUAGCCUCCAAGUACUGCUGGAUUACAAAGAGCGAGCAGCAAAAAGAAGAAUGGACAGUUAUUGACACUGUGUUUAUAGGGCCACUGGCAGACUUGCAUCUUGCCACUUGGGUGCUGGAAUUAGAUUUUAAAAUCAAACAUUAUUUUCUGUAAGGAAGCAUUUAUUUUCAGAGUCCUUGGUACACAGUGGCCUGAAUACUGCAGUCAUAAUUCUGGCAAAACUCCCAACAGACAUCUAAGUUACUUUUUCCUUGAUUCAGGUCUGCUGGACUCUGCUUUUCAGUACAAAUACAUCAUAGGCCAUAUGUGGCCUAAUUCCUAGAAGUUCUGAGCAGACCCACUGUAUGUUGCCAAUAAAGGGAAUGGAGAGAAAGAGACAGCUUGAAAGGUAGUUAAUGAAAUUAUUCAUGUUGCUUUUAUAAUUACAUUUAUAACUGCAUCAUCAUAAUGUGAUGUGUUGAUUAGUAUCUGGAGCAGUUCAUAUAAUUAAACCGAGCAUAGGGAAUUAGCAGAGGUAGAGAAACACCAUGGUGCUGUUUCUAGCACAGUUCUGCUCACAGCUCUUUGACAGAUUGAGAGGUGACCACAGUGUGAGAACUGAUGGAGAGGCACUGGCUCCCUUUCUUUGCAUGCCUCUUGUGUCUCUAAAGGGAAUUUGCCACUGCAGCAUCAGUGUGGUGGGUGUUUGGGACUGGCAUUUCCUGGGUGCCUGAUCUUGCAACCAGAAACCACCCAAACAUCUGCUCCUUUUCCAUCCAUGUCUGCAAAGUUUGCCAUGAUCUGCUGCCAAAAAUUUGUAUUCAGCAGCACACUGCAUUUGAAAUGCACUGUAAUACUUGGUCUGAAAGUAUUACACGUGAGCAAAAACCUCACUAAAGAAGGGAAAUUUGUACAUUGCCUCUGGUCUAGACUUCAGCUUUGACCAUUAGCAAAAGCAUUGUUUUCUUUUGCCAAGUGCCAAGUUACAGUUGAGUUGGGAAAUGUUAGCAGGGCUAUAUAGCAUGUGUAAAGGACUUUGAAUGUGGAGUUUAAAUAGUUGCAGUCAUUAUAGAAUAUUGAAAAAUAUUGGGUAUGAACAAUAUUUGUGUUCAAUGAAGUUCCAUGAGAAUGACAAGAAUCACACGAGUCUCUGCUAGUCCAGAAAAAAACCAGUUUCUGCUAAGGAAAAGAAGUGGAAAUAUAUCUUUAGGAUCAAGAUUAGAAGAGGAGAUCCGGUUUUGGAGAUUUUCUUGUUUGUAUAUUCUAAGACCAUUGACUCAGUGACUUAUCCACAGAUGAAUAGUGCCAGAGGAUUCAGAGCCAUAAGAUCCAAUGCCAUGUUGUUUAGCAAAGAACAAGAAGGAAAAAGACACAAUCCAAAGGUUUAGUUUUACUUUGUAAUGCUUUCUAUCUUGCCAUAUUUUUUAAAAUCUCCUUUCAGAUGUGUUGUAAGGUGAUGGCAGUGUACAAAAUGAUCUUAUGGGGUUGGAGAGAGUUCAAGGAAUUGUGGCAAAUUAAUCAAGUGUCUAAUCUGCAUUUUAUGUGGGUGCUUGAAAAUAGUUCACAAAUAUAAUAACUGUCUUGUAAUAAUCCUCAUAGGUUCUGAUAAAAAUAUAUGUUUGAAGGCACUUUGUAUAUGCAUAUUGCUUAUUUCCUGGCUGUAUUCUGAGCCACAUUGAGAUAGCAAUGUCAAAGUGUUGACAUCUCUGUGAUUUAGGUUCUUUUUACUUUUUACACUCAUGAGUAUUUGAACUCAUGGCUGUUUCAAUUUUCUGACAUUCAUGGUAAAUUUGCAUUCCUUUUCUGGAAUAUUCCUUCACAUUCUCGUUCAGAAAAUGUCUGCUAUGUAAUAUUUAUAACACAAGCAGAGACACUUGUGCUAGUCUGCCAGCUUUAUUACACAGACUUGACCCUCUCAUUGCUAGAUGUCAGUGUAAAAGUAUACUUACUAUUACACUUUAUUGCACCAACAAAGACAAAGAUAAUAAAUUAAUAUUUUGACUGAGUUGUCUCUACAUUUAUAGGAAGAUCUACUCUGCAGUCUGUAUACUUCACUUCAAAAAUGCAUCUGUA
Long non-coding RNA from Passer domesticus (house sparrow), 4638 nucleotides. RefSeq lists it as uncharacterized. NCBI's taxonomy places the organism in Eukaryota, Metazoa, Chordata, Aves, Passeriformes, Passeridae. The transcript has 11 exons. The record is from RefSeq and is a predicted model, not a curated record.